AUCAACUUUCGAUGGUAGGAUAGAGGCCUACCAUGGUGGUAACGGGUAACGGGGUGUUAGGGCACGACACCGGAGAGGGAGCCUGAGAAACGGCUACCACAUCCAAGGAUGGCAGCAGGCGCGCAAAUUACCCAAUCCCGACACGGGGAGGUAGUGACAAUAAAUAACAAUACGGGGUUCUUUAGGAUCUCGUAAUUGGAAUGAGUACAAUUUAAAUCUCUUAACGAGGAACAAUUGGAGGGCAAGUCUGGUGCCAGCAGCCGCGGUAAUUCCAGCUCCAAUAGCGUAUAUUAAAGUUGUUGCAGUUAAAAAGCUCGUAGUUGAAUUUCGGGGUUAGUAGGUUGGUCAUGCCUCUGGUAUGUACUGGUCUCACUGAUUCCUCCUUCCUUAUGAACCGUAAUGCCAUUAAUUUGGUGUUGCGGGGAAUUUGGACUGUUACUUUGAAAAAAUUAGAGUGUUUGAAGCAAGCUAACGCUUGAAUACAUUAGCAUGGAAUAAUGAAAUAGGACGUUCGAUCUUAUUUUGUUGGUUUCUAGGAUUGACGUAAUGAUUAAUAGGGAUAGUUGGGGGCAUUAGUAUUCAAUUGUCAGAGGUGAAAUUCUUGGAUUUAUUGAAGACUAACUACUGCGAAAGCAUUUGCCAAGGAUGUUUUCAUUAAUCAAGAACGAAAGUUAGGGGAUCGAAGACGAUCAGAUACCGUCGUAGUCUUAACCAUAAACUAUGCCGACUAGGGAUCGGAUGAUGUUAAUUCUUUAAUGACUCAUUCGGCGCCUUACGGGAAACCAAAGUGUUUGGGUUC
This 799-nucleotide ribosomal RNA is filed under the name uncultured Glomus. Its description in RNAcentral is "SSU rRNA". It matches the Rfam family "Eukaryotic small subunit ribosomal RNA", at positions 314 to 1114 of the family's 1831-position model. The record is from RNAcentral. Lineage: Eukaryota; Fungi; Glomeromycota; Glomeromycetes; Glomerales; Glomeraceae.